UACGAAGGGGGCUAGCGUUGUUCGGAUUUACUGGGCGUAAAGCGCAUGUAGGCGGGCCGAUAAGUUGGGGGUGAAAUCCCGGAGCUCAACUCCGGAACUGCCUCCAAAACUGUCGGCCUGGAGCAGAUGAGAGGCGAGUGGGAUUCCGAGUGUAGAGGUGAAAUUCGUAGAGAUUCGGAGGAACACCAGUGGCGAAGGCGACUCGCUGGCAUCUUUCUGACGAUGAGAUGCGAAAGAGUGGGGAGCAAACAGG
RNAcentral lists this ribosomal RNA (253 nucleotides) under uncultured bacterium. Its description in RNAcentral is "partial 16S ribosomal RNA". It matches the Rfam family "Bacterial small subunit ribosomal RNA", at positions 524 to 776 of the family's 1533-position model. The record is from RNAcentral.